This 2583-nucleotide long non-coding RNA is filed under the name Equus caballus (horse). Its description in RNAcentral is "lncRNA (ENSECAG00000051533.1)". Lineage: Eukaryota; Metazoa; Chordata; Mammalia; Perissodactyla; Equidae. The record is from RNAcentral.
GGAUGGUGGCGAUGGCUGCACAACAAUGUGAAUGGACUUAAUGCCACCCAACUAUACACUUAAAAAUGAUUAAGAUGGUAAGUUUUAUGUUAUGUAGACUUUACCACAAUAAAAAAUAGACUAUAGAUUAUAAUUAUAGAAUACAAUCCAUUGAAUAAAAUUGGAAUCAACGAGUCCAUACUGACAAUAAAUAGAAAAUAAGUAAAGAGGGGAGAUGGGAGGGCUCUUCCUUAUAUUAAAACGUUAACUAAUAAUGUGGAGGAAGAAGUCGAGUUGAAAAAUGAUCAUUUUAUAGCAAUCACAGUAAAGAUUGAUUUGGCAAGUAUCGUCAACUGAUGCUGAAUUGAGGGAGGAAAGUUUGGUGAGGAACGUGACAUUGGCAUGGUCUUAAAGUGUUUCCCCCCAGCUUGUUUAAUGCAAGGGGAAAAACAGGAACUAAUCAAUGGAGAAAGCAGACACGACACUGACUAGGUGACCCAUAUGAACACCACCAAGGAGACUUGGUCAGAUAUCCCGUGCCUCCAUGUGUGCUGCCCUUAAAAGGAUAAAACACUUACAGAAUAUCCCGGUUAGGGAUGCAUUACUUGAACUUAACCAUGAGGGAAUGUCAGACAAAGCUACAUUCAGAGACUUUCUAUAAAAUGACAAUGUCAUGAAGGCUGAAGAACUGUUCCAGACUAACGGAGGCCAAAGGGACCUGAUAACUAGAUGCAAUUCCUGAUCCUGGACUGGACUUGGUACCAGAGGGGAAAAACCUACCAGGACACUGAGACAAUUGGCAACAUUGGAAUACGGACUGUUGAUUAGGAGAUUAGCCCUGAGCUAACAUCUGCUGCCAGUCCUCCUCUUUUUGCUGAGGAAGACCGGCCCUGAGUCAACAUCCCCGCAACUCUUCCUCUACUUUAUAUGUGGGACACCUACCAUAGCAUGGCGUGCCAAGCGGUGCCGUGCCCGCACCCAGGAUCUGAACCAGCGAACCCCAGGCUGCCAAAGUGGAACAUGAAAACUUAACCACUGCACCAUUGGGCUGGCCCCUUAAGUUAUUUUUGUUGAGUUCAGUAUUUGUAAGAAUUUUACUAAAAUUUUAAAAUAAUCUUUCCCCAACAUGACAAAAAUCCUCCAAAAUGUUCACAUAUAGAAGUAUUUGAGUUUAGAAACCUACAAAUCUAAUCAUAAUUAUUAUCUGUGCUACAUACAUGCAUUAGGUAUUGACUCUAAAAUAACGAGUAAUAUUAAGCACUUCUUACCUUAUCCCAAAAUAUUUUUUUCAUGGCACCUGCUAACAUUAAAAAAAAAUCUUGUGUAUUUCAUCCCUUGAGUAACGUGUAAUAGUUUUUUGGUGCUGAUAUUUGAUUUCUGUAUAAAUGUUCUUCCACGAUGUUACUGAAUUUUGCCAAAUGAAUAAUAUUCUGAUUUCCACACUCUUAAAAUUGGGUGUCUGAAUGCUAGCUAUUGCCUCACCAAAACAGAAUCAUUUAUAUAAUGUUUUUAACAAGAGCACACCAAUAUCUUUUCCCAUUUUAUAUAGUCUCUCUUCUGCAGCACCACCUUUCGGGGUGUCCCAUAUAUCUCGGUUGCUCUUUUCUGUGUUUUCUCUCCUUUUUUUGCCUGUACUUUAAUCUCAAUACUUUCUGCUGCCUGUCUUCCAGUUCAUUAAACCUCUGUUCUGCUGUUUCCAAUCUGCUAUUAAUCCCAUCAAAUGAAUUCUUUUUUAAUAACAACUUGAUUGAAGUACUAUACAUACAAUAAACUGUACCUAUUCAAAGUGUAAAAUUUGAUGAGUUUAGACAUAUGUAUACAUCCAUGAAAACACCACCAUAAUCAAGACUCAGAUCGUUCUCAUCACCCUCAAAAGUUUCUUUGUGCCUCUUUACCUCUCGUUUUUCUCUCCACAUCUGGUCCCAGGCAACCACUGAUCUGCUGUCAUUAUAGAUUAGUUUGCAUUUUCUUGAAUUUUAUAUGGAAUUAUACAGUACGUAUUCUUUUGUUUUUGGCUUCUUUCUCUCAGUAUAAUGAUUUUGAGAUUUGUCUACAUUGUUUAGUGUGUUGGUGAUUCAUCCCUUUUAAUUGCUGGGUAGUAUUCCAUUUCACGGAUUUAAUGCAUUUUUGUUCAUCCAUUCACCUGUUGAUGGGUAUUUGGGUUGUUUCCAGCUUUUUGAUACUGUGAAUAAAGCUGCUAUAAAUAUUCUUUUCCAAGUCUUGGUGUGGACAUAUGUUUUCAUUUCUCUUAGGUAAAUACUUAUGUGAUAGUUUUUUUUUAGGUGUUAACUUUUUGAAGUGAAUAACUUGUCCUCAGUUAUUCUACACUAUUCAACACUAAUCUAAGUGCUGCUAUGAAGGCAUUUUUUGUAGAUAUGAUUAAAGUCCAUAAUUGGUUGACUUUAAGUAAGGGAUAUUAUCCUGGAUAAUCUGGUUGGGCCUGAUUUAACCAGUGAAAAGUCCUGAAAAGCAGAGUUCAGGUUCUCCCGAAGAAGAACUUCUGCCUUGGGACAGCAGCUUCAGCCCUUGCCUGAGUCUCAACCUGAUCUUCCUGAUAGCCCGUCCUAUGGAUUUCAGAUUUGCUUAACCAGUCCUCCUCCCCAC